UACGAUCAAGCGCCUUUGGAACGUUUAUGAUUUUGCCCCCCCCAAUCUGAAAAAUGGAUCGACGCCCCUGGCGCUUAAUACAGGUCUUUCUAAGCGCUCAGUUUUAUUAUAAACUAUGAAUUACCGUAAAAAAUAAAAAUGUAAUCUUAAUAAAUGAAAAAAAUAGCGAAACUUUGAUGUGCACCUACAUAUAGACCAACUCACAUUUGCUAGACAGAUUAUCUAAUCUGUCUAGCAAAGAUAGACAUUAAAAAGAUGGGUCUUGAGUCUUAAAUUGAUUGAGUUGGCAUUAUGUAUGUUUGAUGGCAAUGGAUUCCACAGGAUUGGAGCAAAAGCAAAGAAGGCUCGACCACCAUAACCAGUAUUUAUUUGUGGUCUUAGAGUUGGCUGCAAGGUAGUUGAAGAACAAAGUGGUCUGAGUGAGCUAGAAGAGUGGAGAUAGAUAAGGUUAGAGAGAUAUUCAGGAGCUAGGCCAUUGAUUAUUUUAUGAGAAGAACUUUGAAAAUGAUGCGCUGGUAUACACUGGAAGCUGGUAUACGCUGGAAGCUAAUGAAGUGAUUUCAGAAUUGGUGUAAUAUUUUCAGAUUUUCUUGAGAGAGUAACAAGCCUUGCAGCAGUAUUCAGAAUACUUUUGAGUUGAUGUAAAUAUGAGAGUGGGAUUCCAGAAAGUGUAGAAUUGCAAUAAUCAAGGUGAGAGGAUACAUAGGCAGGAGUAAGUUUUAACAGUUUUAUAUUGAUCAAGUUGAGUAGCUUCCUAAUUUGUCUGAAUCUUGGAAAUACCCAAGGAUGCAAACUUACAUACAUAUUCUUAAUAUGCCAUUGAAAUUUAAGGUUCUUGUCAAUUGUCAACACAUACCAACUUACUACAGAUCAAAGGACUAUUGUUAGUGCUACUAGUGGUUGAUUCUUGUAAGUUAACAGUUGCAUUGGUAUAUCUCUGAUAAUAAUGAUAAUAUAGGUAUAUUUACCCAGGGAAGCCACUUCUGUUCUGAAAACUGUUCUCCCAGCGGGCCCUGCUAUUAUUAUUACCCCAGCUUUAGCUUGGCUGCCUAGGCACUCAAGGAUUCAAGGAAUUUCUUCCUACCGGGUACCCAUUCACCUCACCUAGGUUGAGUGCAGCACAAUGUGGAUAAUUUUCUUGCUGAAGGAAAACACGCCGUGGCUGGAUUUGAACCCACGACCCUCUGUUUUAAAGUGAGAAUACUAAUCCACUGGGCCACAACGCCUCAUAACGCUCUGAUGAGGGGGUUUGUUAUUUUGUGAAUGAACAAUGACGUUUCAAAUAUAUUCCUGUAUCUUCUACAAUGCUCUAAAACUAUUAGUAGGUCUUUAACACUUUAUAAUGAUGUUGAUUGUUCUGAGUUUAUCUGUGUUGGCAAAGACUGCAGUGGAUAGCAAAAAUUAUGAGGUAAAUUUUUCAAUGUGUACAGGAGUUGAAUUGUGAGGUAAAUUUUUCAAUGUGUACAGGAGUUGAAUUGUGAGGUAAAAUUUUCAAUGUGUACAGGAGUUGAAUUGUUGAAUUUCUACUAACUUUAUAUUACAUUACAGAACUGAUAAUUUACAUGAGUACCUGUAAACUUUUUUGGUCACAUUAAUACAAUUCCAUAUAUCAUUCACAAAAAAGGAAAUAUUCAGCUCUGAAUUGUGUUAUUGUCAAGAAAUGAAAAAGAGGAAAUAUUAAAACUACUCUGAUAGAUAAGAGGUUUUGUGAGAUUGCCACAUGGCAUAAGCAUAAUCAUGUAAUGAAAUCAAAACUGGUCAGAUAUUUCUAGUAUAAUGAAAUCCAGCUUUGGAAAUGAAAAAUCAAAGAAUCAGAAGACACAUAGGCCUAUUGACAAACAUUGUCACAUAAAUACCAUAUACACACAUUUGUGACAUUUUUGAAAACAUAACAAUGGAUCAGAAGUUGCAAUACAGUCAGAGGGCUUUAUAUUGGUAAAAUAGCAGUCACAUGACAUGGUCUUAUGAUAUAGGAUUGGUAAUUUCUUUCCAAAAUUAUUAUGUAAAAUGAAAGAUGUAAAUUUAUAAAGAAAGAAUCCAACAGUCACAUGACCUGGUAACAUGAUAUUACAAAUACUAGGUGAUAAAGAAAGUACAAUGAUCUGAAAUAUAAGCUUAGAAUUAUCGUGUGAAACAUCAUGUCAGUGCUUUGACAUGGUUAAUGAUAAAAUCAGUGAAAACAAAAUGAAAACAAGUGAAGUAGAUGGAUCAGAAAUUUCAGUCAGAAAUCCUUAUAAGAGAAUGCAAGAUAUCAAAAAGUAUUUGUGUAUGUCUGACAGGGAGAGUUAGGGAAGUUUAGGCGAGGUCCAUCAUGGCGACGCAUGUUCAAGAGCAAAGAGGCCGCCGCUCAUCAUAGAAAGGACAAAUUACCGCUAGACCUGACGGCCGGAGAACGAAUGGAGGCAUACGGUCCUUCCCCAGGCUCUCCCACACAGCGAACUAUGAUGUAUACAAAUCAGAGAGGGGCGGUGGUCCAUGGUGUACCUGUUCUACCAACCUCUCCACCCCUUCAGAGGGGUGGAGCCGGUGGAGGGGUGGUAGUCCCACCCGGGAAUACAUCUAGCAAUACAACAAAUCUUAAAACAUACUCAUGCUGACAGAAUGUAUCACCAUGGAGACAGGGACCAAGCCAUCCCAUCAUAAGCUGACCUUUGCCCCUAGCAAGGUCAUAGGUCAAAGUUCAGGACCUUAUAUGUUAUAGUUUGUCUUCAACUGCAGCUCACUGUAGCCAUUAUUAGCCAUUAUUUUAUAUAACCAGUGACAUAUAUAGAAGCUAACAUGCAGUCUCAUUAAAGUAUUUUUAUGUCUGCUUUUGUAGACAUAUUUACCUCAUGAAAAACAUUGUGUACUAUGAAAUCCAAAUAUAUCUUUCCCAUGGACCAUGUAACACAAAACAUUUAUAUGAUUGAUUGUAUCAAUGCAGUCAGUCAUCAAAAAGCGAAUAUGAUUGAUUGUAUCGAUGCAGUUAGUCAUCAAAAAGUGAAUAUGAUUGAUUGUAUCAAUGCAGUCGGUCAUCAAAAGGUGUAUAUGAUUGAUUGUAUCAAUGCAGUCAGUCAUCAAAAAGUGAAUAUGAUUGAUUGUAUCAAUGCAGUCAGUCAUCAAAAAGUGAAUAUGAUUGAUUGUAUCAAUGCAGUCAGUCAUCAAAAAGUGAAUAUGAUUGAUUGUAUCAAUGCAGUCGGUCAUCAAAAGGUGUAUAUGAUUGAUUGUAUCAAUGCAGUCGGUCAUCAAAAGGUGUAUAUGAUUGAUUGUAUCAAUGCAGUCAGUCAUCAAAAAGCGAAUAUGAUUGAUUGUAUCGAUGCAGUUAGUCAUCAAAAAGUGAAUAUGAUUGAUUGUAUCAAUGCAGUCGGUCAUCAAAAGGUGUAUAUGAUUGAUUGUAUCAAUGCAGUCAGUCAUCAAAAAGUGAAUAUGAUCGAUUGUAUCAAUGCAGUCAGUCAUCAAAAAGCGAAUAUGAUUGAUUGUAUCAAUGCAGUCGGUCAUCAAAAGGUGUAUAUGAUUGAUUGUAUCAAUGCAGUCGGUCAUCAAAAGGUGUAUAUGAUUGAUUGUAUCAAUGCAGUCAGUCAUCAAAAAGCGAAUAUGAUUGAUUGUAUCACUGCAGUCAGUCAUCAAAAAGUGAAUAUGAUUGAUUGUAUCAAUGCAGUCAGUCAUCAAAAGGUGUAAAUGAUUGAUUGCAUCAAUGCAGUCAGUCAUCAAAAAGUGGUGACUGAUUGAUUGUAUCAAUGCAGUCAGUCAUCAAAAAGUGAAUAUGAUCGAUUGUAUCAAUGCAGUCAGUCAUCAAAAAGUGAAUAUGAUUGAUUGUAUCAAUGCAGUCAGUCAUCAAAAAGUGAAUAUGAUUGAUUGCAUCAAUGCAGUCAGUCAUCAAAAGGUGUAAAUGAUUGAUUGCAUCAAUGCAGUCAGUCAUCAAAAAGUGAGCUUUCUGAUCAAUUAUUAUGCUUUGUGUUACUGGCCUUUUGAGUCCAAAGACUAGUUUACUUAGAAUGGUAGUUUACUUAUAGUAAGCAUGUCACCUUGUCUAUUUUCACUCCAUUCUACAGCAACUUUGGCAUGGUCUAGUCAGCUUGGACAAAUGACAAUGAACUCUCUCGUUUUAAUGUCACAUUAAGAAAGGAACUAUUUGGUAUUCCAUGAAAACUGACCAACGAUAAGUCCUUAUUCAUCAUAUGAUAUCUGAAGCACUCAUCAUAACUUUACCUAUUUAUGAUAUCUGAAAGUGAUUGUGAUCAAAAGAAGUAAUGUUUGGAUUUAUCUUGAUUAUUAAUGGUAUGAUGAGAAAUGACUCACAUUUUUUAGUAUUAAUAGCAGUUCUUAUGACAAAUGCCCCCAAAUAUGUUUAUGAAUAUUGAUUUCAAUAUCACACUUUUAAUAAUAAUCCUUAUACCUCUAAUGGCCCUGUUUCUAGUUCAUAAAAUCACAUUGUUACUCCAUCUAACAGAUUAUAAUUAUUUGUUCUAGACAAGUCAGAAUUGUUGCAUAUUUGAAAUUAGGUUUUCACUAUAUAUCCUUCAAACUUGGGGGGGGGGGGGAUUCAUCUAAAAUUGAUGUUUUUUUUUAACAAUAGAGUGUUGACUAUGAAAGAAAAUGUGAGAAAAGAAGGAAGCGAUACUUUAAUCUGAACAGUUACGUCUUGUAAUGCAUCCAAAGAGUUUGAUUUUGUUGUUUUAGAAAGUAACUACAUUCCACUAAAAUAGUACAUGUAUGCACUUGCCUAAUAGAAGAGCUCCUUUGGUAAUUUAUUGUCAAUCAGAAAUUGUGUCAGUGGCCUGGGAUUAAUGAGGGCAUUUCAAGAAAUCUGCAGGCAAUUGCAUAUGUAUUAGGAGUCACAAAUACAGUAUGUCUUUAAUUAAUUGCAAUUGCCAUUGAUUUCAGUUGAUAUGCUUCUCGUAACAAUUACAUAAUAAUAAUUAUAGUGAUGUCUUAUUGAGCGCAAACACAGUCGAGAGACGCUCAUGGCGCUAGCACAUUUCUUUUGGAAAUACAUAACUACAAAUCUAAAUGUAAAUGAAGUAAAAAAGAAAUCUUAAGUUACUUAAGUACAAUUUUGCAUCACUCACUGGAAUUUCUAGCUACAUCCUGGUGGGGCCUGGUGCCCUCCUGCUCGCUGCUCCUUUCACCGACAAUUUAGGGGGCAAUCUCGGUCAGCUCAGAACUCACAGGAGCUCUAGCAAAUAAGAGCACCAGCCCCCAUAGGGGCUGACUAGCUAGUCAGACCAGUGAGUGAUGAUAAAUAGAAUGUACUUUUCAUGUCUACAAAACAAUGUUAUUUCUAAUAAAUAUGGAUUUAGUUGUCGAAGGCACUACAGGUUGAACAAAUAGGUCUUUAGAAGCACUUUAAUGCAGCGGAGUAACUGAGGAAGUUGAUUCCACAACUUGGCCGCAGUAUAUGAGAAGUACCUAUGCCCCCAAGAAUGUCGGGUACGAGGAAAUAGAAGCAAAUUGUCAUUUCCAGAUCUCAAAGUACGAAUUGGAUUGAAGCGUAUCUUUAAUGUAUUGUGGCGACAUCCCAUGAAUGACUCGAAUCUUACCCUUCUGAAGACCUUGUUAACGCGAUAACUUUAGUUGAACUUAACCUAGGCUCAUAUAAUUUGGUGUGUAUGAUACUAGCAAUUCUAUUGAUUUUGAGGUCACAAGGUCAAAGGUGAAGUCGCCACCUUCCACUUUUCUUGCUAGACCAAUAACUCCAUUUUCUGUGUUACAGGCGGGCGUAUUAUGUGCUCGCCUUAGCAACACUCUGUUUCUUUUUAUUAAAUCUCCAUUUUUUUUCUGGGGUGGACUGGACCUCUAAUAAUAGACAUUUGUCAAUUUGAACACAUCCUCUUUUUCUCAUGCUAGAGACUGGGGGUGAUGUACUCCGAGAGAUAAAAUCAAUUAUCAAUUUCAUGAGAGAUUAAUUCAGUUCUUUGUGAUUUUAUUGGUCUACUGCUUGGUGUAUUGUGAUAUAAUUAUCAGAUUUUUCACUAUUAAGAGAUAAAAUCAAUUUGUAAGAGAGAUUAAAUGAUUUCAGCUGUCAUUGCAUUAUUCCACAAGGCAUAAUUCCUGUAGUUAUAUAAGAUUAUCCCAUAGCUUAUGUAGUAUUUAAAUGAUACUGACCCUAAACAUGUAGUGCCAGAUGUUGCAGAGAUAAUGCCAGUUUAUAAAUACUUGCAUUUGCUAAUUUAUAUAUUUAUUUAGAUUUAACUGGAUGAAAGAGUCUAUUUACAUCUAGAUAAGGAGGUUUACAAAAUGAGUUUAGUUCAUGCGCAUUUAAGUCAGUAGCUAAAAUCUUCAGGCAAGUCCUGCCAUGUUCCUGUGGGAGUUACCAUAAACAGAAACAGAAGUAACACAGAAGUAACUAAAAGUUUAGAAAUACUUGCUUCAUCAGAAUACUACACAUUUUCCUUUUGUGAAAUAUAAAUUUAAACUACCUCUGCUUACGUGUUCAUUUGUCAAUUUCUACAUUUUCAAAAAUAUGAAAGUGUUUGUCUCUAGAAGUAAAUUUUUUUUUUUUGAAUGCCCACCAAUAUCAACUCAUUGACAAAUCAGAUAUCCUCAUAACACAGUUCUCAGUAAUUCUGUGUUCUUAGUGUACUAAAUAUAUUUGUGCUCCAUGAUAGAAUCUUAGGGUUAAAAAAAAUAUCUAUAGAUAAUAGUAAGCUUCAUUAAAUACACAUGCUGCACUGUGCAGAAAAAGCUUGGGGAACAAAUGCUCAGCAUGUAUGUAUUUCUCAUCUUUCAAAUUGGUUUGGGGCUGAAAAUUGUGUUUUUUAUGAAACUUUUUAAAUAUUGCGUUCUUCCCAAUUUCUGUGAAAAUUUUCCAUGUUCCUUUUAAGUACAGGCUAGACCCCAUAGAAAAUGGACCAAACCUUGCUUUUUUGUCUCGCCUGCAUAGCAGAGCAAGAGUAUAGGCGCCGCUUUUUCGUCGGCGGCGUCAACAUCAAAUCUUAACCCAAGGUUAAGUUCAUGAAACUUGGGACAUAAGGGUAAUCAAGUAUUACUCAACAUCCUGCCUUGGUUUCAGGUCACAUGUUCAAGGUCAAAGGUCAUUUAGGGUAAAUGAACUUAGACCAUGUUGUGGGAAUCAAUGUCGAAAUCUUAACCUAAGGUUAAGUUUUUGAUAUGUCACCAUAACUUAGAAAGUAUAUGGACCUAGUUCAUGAAACAUAAACUUCAGGGUAAUGAACAUCCUGCCUGAGUUUCAGGUCACAUGACCAAGGUCAAAGGUAAUGACCUUUGACCUUGGUCAUGUGACCUGGUCAUGGUCAAUGAAUUGUGGGCAUGUUAGGGGUAUUUGUUGAAAUUCCAUCGUAACUUUGAAUUUUUAUGGAUGUAGUUCAUGAAACAAACAUAAGGGUAAUCAAGUAUAAAUGAUCGUUUUGCACACAUCUUAGAUCACAUGAUCAUGGUCAAAGGUCAUUAUUAUCAUAUGAAUGUUUUCUUUUGUGAAUUGUGAAUAAUUAUUCACAAUUAUUCAAAGUCAGCACUGAUACAAUAUCGAAUCGCGUAAUGCACGCGAGAUUGCCAUAGGCGUGCAACUUGUUAUAUAUUGACAGUUUGUCAAUUCAUGGCUGCUGAAUUUGAAUCUAAAUGAUACAAUGUAUUGUAACCUUGAUCCCGUCUUACAAAGAGUUACGAUUGAUCCAAUCAAUCAUAACUCUAUGGAAAUGCAUCAGUGUCAUAAUUUUUUCUAUAGGAAAUUUGCACAAUGUCCUUUGUAAACAAAGAGAAGCACUUUUCAUGAAAACAAUGAAUGCAUCAUAGAAAACAUUUCAGGUUGACGUUGCUGGCCGUCCAUAGUUGCGAUUGAUUGGAUCAAUCGCAACUCUUUGUAAGACAGGGGCCUGGGGUGUUUUCUGCAUAUUGCCGGUUUGCCAAAUUUAGUCCCUUUAAAUAAAUGACAAAUCUUACAUUGACUAACACAUUGUAAACCACAGAUACUCCUUCAUGAACAGAUUAUUUAAUGUUCAGAGUUGGAUUAAUAUUUAUCUUAUCGGGAACAACCAUAUUUUCAUUUAUUUGAAAAGAAGUAAUAUUUAUUAGAAAUGAUUUUCUUGUGAUACCAGAUGGAAAAUGACCAUGAAACCAAAUAAACAUUUAUACAUAAUUUUGUCCAUUAUCAAUCGCACCUCACCUAGUCACAUACAGGCCAUGAUAGUGCAAUUGACUUCUUUAAUAGACGUUUCCCCUAUUUCAAUGCUCAACUUUGUUCUCAUCAUGAUUACACAAUUUAGAGCUUUUUUUGCAACGAAGCAGUGUGAUCGAACAUGUGAAUUAAUUUACAUCUGUUCUCAGCUUUUGUUGAAGUGUGUACAACUUUGUGUUGCGUUUGAUAUUAAAGUCAUUUGUGAGACACAAAUGUCUGAGAUGAUAGCAUCUUAUCAACAGUAUGUACACAAACUAAUAGGGAAUGUUUGAAUACCACUUAGAAAUGCUAAAUGGGAUUCUAUUAGCAUCUUUUCAUCGACAAACUCAGAUUUCAGUAUCUGUGUACAUACUGAAAUCCGAGUUUGUCUAUGCUAAUAGAAUCUAAUAGGGAAUGCUUGAAUACACUGAGAAAUGCCUAGUAGGAUCCAUGCUUGACACUGUGUGUAAGUAGACUAAUGGCUUUAUAAAAUAAAGUUGUCUUAUGUCAUAUCUGUUGAUGAAUUCACUUCAUUCCAAACCAAGCAUUUACUCUCAAACCUCUUAUGUUGCAUAGACUGGAUAUAGCUUUGAUCAAAGUGUGAAAUAGUCUCCAUAUUUUGUGUAAAUAAAGAAUGAUAUAUAGGAGCUACUACAGAGAAAGCUGUUUACAUGGUGUACAGUGUUAUAGCUUUUAGUCAAAUGAAGAUCAUAUUGAGGAGUUAUUGGCGAUCUUCUUGAAGAAUUAUUUGUAGUAUCAACCAUUUACAUGUACCUUUUCUAUUUGUAACUCUAUGUGAGGAAUAUUCUUGUCUAUGCAAAUAUUUAAUAUGGAGUGAGAUAAUGAAUACAAUAUCACGGAGCUGUUAUUUAACAGAUGUUUUGACAAGGUUAUCAUGUAAAGAGUGGAAUAUCUUUUUUUAUUUGAAUAUGUCAAUGCAUUACGUUUUAAUGAAAAGUUUGUUUUGUAGAGAAAAUGAAGGGACAACUCAUCGUCUUCAGACAAAGCUCCAAUCUGUCCCAUUCAGUGAGAGGUUGCUAAUACAAAACAGUGCCAAGGCAAAAAACUUGGUAGCCAUUUUCCCUUUUAAAAAAUUGUUUCAAAAAAUAUGUGAACCACUUUUAAGACUUAGAAUAUACCAAAAUACAUUAUUAAUGUAAUGCUACAGUCAUACCACUGAUAAUCAUUAUAUUUCACUUUCAUGGACUAGGGACUAAAUCUCAACAUUCCUUAAGGUAUUUAUGUAGAUACCAAAACAUGGUCAUUGACCUUUGACAUUGAUCAUGUGAUUUGAAACUCAUGCCAAGAUCAGUGACACCUGUACGUCACAAUAACAGGCCCUUUUCUCAUUCAAAGUUAUAAAAUUUCAAAAACUUAAUAGGUAGGCAACACAAAACAGCCCCCUGUAAAUCAACAAGUGACAUUCAAUAUUUUUGUGGGAAAACCUGCAUUGUAAGCUUUAUAGUGAAUAAAAGCUAAUUACUUGUAAAGCAUUGACUUCUAAUUCUGAGUAUUUGUUGAUUUCAAUGCAUAAAAACUCUGCAUUUUUGUUAUUAUGAUGCAUGUUUCACAUUGUAUCAUAUAUACCUACAAAUGGAAUAGAGUCAUUUCAUUAUGUCCCACCUUUUAUGUGGCAUAGAUCUUAUUUAUUUGCAUUUAUAAUAAUUGCAACAUACAUGUAGUUAUGACACAACAUUCUUUGGAAACCUCAUUUUGUCACAUAUAACACAUAUAUGUUGAUGUAUGUUUUAUUUUCUUGUAAGUUUAAUGAAAUAUGGGAUCUUGUAAUUUUCUUCACAAAAGAAAUGAUGGAAUAAUGUUUAAGAGAUUUCCAUGUAAAUUGAAUGUAUAAUGCAUACAGAAGUAAUUUUCAUAUCGAUGUGAUUCUUGUACAGUAACAGAGAAUAAAAUUGUGAAGAUUACGAUUGUGUAAUAUCUAUUCCUCUAUGUAUCACAACUGAAAAUAGAAAAUGAAAAAAAAAAAAGAUAACCAAAUAAACAAACUUAAGUUAUUCUUUA
Lytechinus pictus (painted urchin) is the source of this 10111-nucleotide long non-coding RNA. RefSeq lists it as uncharacterized. The record is from RefSeq and is a predicted model, not a curated record. The transcript is spliced from 2 exons. Lineage: Eukaryota; Metazoa; Echinodermata; Echinoidea; Temnopleuroida; Toxopneustidae.